ACUCUUGUAGUUUAAUAAUAAAGCACUGGCCUUGUAAGACAGAGACGGAGAACAAACGCCCCCGAGAGUA
RNAcentral lists this transfer RNA (70 nucleotides) under Paleosuchus trigonatus (Schneider's dwarf caiman). RNAcentral describes it as "tRNA-Thr". It matches the Rfam family "tRNA". Rfam says of the family: Transfer RNA (tRNA) molecules are approximately 80 nucleotides in length. Their secondary structure includes four short double-helical elements and three loops (D, anti-codon, and T loops). Lineage: Eukaryota; Metazoa; Chordata; Crocodylia; Alligatoridae. The record is from RNAcentral.